This 643-nucleotide ribosomal RNA is filed under the name uncultured bacterium. RNAcentral's name for it is "bacterial SSU rRNA". It matches the Rfam family "Bacterial small subunit ribosomal RNA", at positions 232 to 885 of the family's 1533-position model. The record is from RNAcentral.
CGCGGCCUAUCAGCUUGUUGGUGAGGUAAUGGCUCACCAAGGCGUCGACGGGUAGCCGGCCUGAGAGGGUGACCGGCCACACUGGGACUGAGACACGGCCCAGACUCCUACGGGAGGCAGCAGUGGGGAAUAUUGCACAAUGGGCGAAAGCCUGAUGCAGCAACGCCGCGUGAGGGAUGACGGCCUUCGGGUUGUAAACCUCUUUUAGCAGGGAAGAAGCGAAAGUGACGGUACCUGCAGAAAAAGCGCCGGCUAACUACGUGCCAGCGGCCGCGGUAAUACGUAGGGCGCAAGCGUUAUCCGGAAUUAUUGGGCGUAAAGAGCUCGUAGGCGGUUUGUCGCGUCUGCUGUGAAAUCCCGAGGCUCAACCUCGGGCCUGCAGUGGGUACGGGCAGACUAGAGUGCGGUAGGGGAGAUUGGAAUUCCUGGUGUAGCGGUGGAAUGCGCAGAUAUCAGGAGGAACGCCGAUGGCGAAGGCAGAUCUCUGGGCCGUAACUGACGCUGAGGAGCGAAAGGGUGGGGAGCAAACAGGCUUAGAUACCCUGGUAGUCCACCCCGUAAACGUUGGGAACUAGUUGUGGGGACCAUUCCACGGUUUCCGUGACGCAGCUAACGCAUUAAGUUCCCCGCCUGGGGAGUACGG